RNAcentral lists this long non-coding RNA (1004 nucleotides) under Scophthalmus maximus (turbot). Its description in RNAcentral is "lncRNA (ENSSMAG00000035398.1)". The record is from RNAcentral. Lineage: Eukaryota; Metazoa; Chordata; Actinopteri; Pleuronectiformes; Scophthalmidae.
UGUAUUGCUACCAUGUGGGUGUUAAAAUUCUGUGAUUUGUCAUCCCAAGAAUAUGUUUUAGUGUGAUAGACCUUGUUGUUUACAAGGGAGUCAAGAAUAGUGAUUAUCUGAUCAUUUCAGGAAUUGCUGGCUCCUCCUUCCAGUCUCUCUCCCCCAAGUUUUUCACCUCCUCAUCGCCCAUCACCUCCUCCCAGUCCUUCACCUCCUCCCAGUCCAUCACCUCCUCCACGUCCUUCACCCUCUCCACGUCCUUCACCUCCUCCCAGUCCAUCACCUCCUCCCAGUCCUUCACCUCCUCCCAGUCCUUCACCUCCUCCCAGUCCAUCACCUCCUCUCAGUCCAUCACCUGCUUGUAGUCUGUGAGUAAUAAAUAUCAGUGUAAUGUAAAAAAUGUGGAGAAGAAAGACAUAGGAGGGACGUUAUGGCUAUUAUGAGUAAUAUAGAUAAUAGAUUGGCUUAUCUUCAAUAUCAACUAUUAGUACAACAAUGUGAUACCAGAUAUUGCUUAUAACUCCCUUUAAGAUGUGCCUAACAAGAUUGUCUCUGUUCUUAAUAUAAUUUUCAGGGAUGUUGUCACCAUUCUCCGAGGUCUUAGGGAGACACUCAAACUCCUCCCCAACAGAGCUAAUCAAAUUAAUGCUCUGCGUGGGGAGGAGUUUGAUUGCGCGGCCCGAGCCUUCAGCAGAUCUAAUUUUGACCCAGAGUCAAAAUUAGAUGUCGUGUUUGUAGACGAUGAUGGUAUUGGAGAGGGGGCUGUGGAUGAAGGUGGUCCAACAAGGGAGUUCUGCCGCCUUCUCACCAGGCAGCUCCAAACACAUAGCAUUUUUGAAGGGCCCCUGGAAAAACGCACCUUGGCCCUAGAUAGUGUUGAUUGCCACAGCAACAACUCUUGAAGAGGCAAGAGAGGCAGUCAGUGACGCAUCAGAGGAACUGUCCCUGAUGGGUUCUCUGCGCUUCCUCAAAACUCUAGAGGAGAGGGAUGAACUGGUGACCGCUGUCCUGGG